CCUACGGGCGGCUGCAGUGGGGAAUAUUGGACAAUGGGCGAAAGCCUGAUCCAGCCAUGCCGCGUGUGUGAAGAAGGCCUUCGGGUUGUAAAGCACUUUCAGUGGGGAAGAAAGCCUUGGGGCUAAUACCCUCGAGGAAGGACAUCACCCACAGAAGAAGCACCGGCUAACUCCGUGCCAGCAGCCGCGGUAAUACGGAGGGUGCGAGCGUUAAUCGGAAUUACUGGGCGUAAAGCGCGCGUAGGCGGUCUGAUAAGCCGGUUGUGAAAGCCCCGGGCUCAACCUGGGAACGGCAUCCGGAACUGUCAGGCUAGAGUGCAGGAGAGGAAGGUAGAAUUCCCGGUGUAGCGGUGAAAUGCGUAGAGAUCGGGAGGAAUACCAGUGGCGAAGGCGGCCUUCUGGACUGACACUGACGCUGAGGUGCAAAAGCGUGGGUAGCAAACAGGAUUAGAUACCCUAGUAGUC
This 465-nucleotide ribosomal RNA is filed under the name Vreelandella stevensii. Its description in RNAcentral is "partial 16S ribosomal RNA". It matches the Rfam family "Bacterial small subunit ribosomal RNA", at positions 338 to 795 of the family's 1533-position model. Lineage: Bacteria; Pseudomonadati; Pseudomonadota; Gammaproteobacteria; Oceanospirillales; Halomonadaceae. The record is from RNAcentral.